GAACGUCGAACGGAGACGAGCAAGCGACGAAGAAGAACAGGGGAGAUAUGCGACAAAAGCAGUUUGCCCGACGCGACAAUGGCGAGACUGUAGCGACACAGAGGGCACGAGUUUGAGGACUCCUUGCUUGUAUGAGUUCCAUCAGCGCCUAUAAAUACAUGGCGUUCGCGAACCGGGACUUGAAUGCCGUCAUCAACACCAGAUUCUGUGUAGUCCUGAAGACGAGGCCCGGAAAGCUGUCGCAAGCCGACUUUUUGUGGAUCAGCCUCUCAUGCUCGAGAUAUACAAGGAGCAGCUGAAAUCGAGAGCAGGCAGCCGAUCGACACAAGUCUGGGAGGCGUCUGCGCGUCGGCGUCUGUAGACGCACUCUCGAGGGCGGGCGGCGCGCCACAACCGUCCACCGUCGAUGGCAGCGUUUGCCCUAGCCACGUGUCGAAGCGCUGUUGUUUGCAACGUUCGGGUCGCGCAUAUUAUGCGCAUUCCAGUUGAAAACUGGCAAGAGAGCAAAGAUUUUCGCGGAAAAUCUGAAGUACAUUUCAUUCGGAGCUUUAAAGUCGGCGUCGGUGCGUGAACCGGUGGAUCGCUUGUUCGUACGGCGCACCAGGUGGCGGAUGCGGUUGGCGGCGGACCCACGAGGCACACCUUGGAAACGCAGCAAUAGAUAUACCAGGAGACGCCUCUCCGAGAAGGAAACUACGUUAGUCUGUGUGUCCGAUAGAGUGGAGGUCAACUUCGGAGUCCGGCUCGGUCAGGCUGGGCUCGGUUCCGUUCGUCAGCUUGGCUGACGCAGAGGGACUCGAAGCAGGCGUUGUAGAACUGCCGGGACUCGGAGUGAUUCUUUGGCAGAGUGAUCUGCCAUGAACCACCAUGUCGUGGGUUCAUGCUCUUCACUAGUGAAUAGUUCUCCGAAGAACCCGCAGUUGAAUCAAAGUCCGCCAGAAACUCCCCGGAUUACCAGUCUAGUCUCAAUCGCAGAAACGGAUUCACAGGUAGCACCAGGUGACGCGUUGCAGCCGCCCAAACCUGUAUCUGCACAGCGGCUGAGUACAGGUCGCAGACCGAGGACUAGAGCGUCGGACGACGAGCAACAACUUGCGACACCGGUCCAACGGAAACUGGAGGCGUCCGAAACAGUUUGGCGAAAGCGCGCCUCGAAACCCUCGUCUGACUCUAUAAGACAAGCCAUUGCAGAUUUGCAUACAAGUGGCGCGCUCAGUGAGCGCGAAUGGAAAGAACUCGAAAGCACGGAAUCGCUCGUUGAGGACCUUGAACGAGUGCUGCAACACCUUGAGACAGCAGCACGAGAGCGAGUCCUGGAAAAUACAGAUCUUGCAAUGGUUCUCCACGAACGUCUGCCGCUCUUAGAGCAGCACCUGUCCGCGGAUGAGUCCUCGGACAGAUUUCCCGCACCAUCGUGAGAAUCCCCACAUCCGUUUGGCGCCCCAAGUCGUGAACCCUGGUUAUGAUGGUCGUCAUCGGCAGCGCUGAACGCCCGAGGAAGCAGUCGGAGACCAGCAUGCUCGGAAGCGUUUGAAAUUCCGCGACGAUGCAGGCAGGGGUCCCUGCGGUUUGUUCCGCCGAGGGUAUGCCUCGCGUUUUUCGGUGAACCACACGCGAGCGUAUCACGCUGAACGCGGCUUUGCCGUGGUGAACCCACGUUUCCGAAUAGCGUGUUUCGUUUCCGGUGUGCAAUUGUUUGCGUCGUCCCUGAUUCAGGAGACGGCAAAGGCCGGCUUUCAGGGGCCACCUCUCUGGCAACCAGACAGACUAUGGACGCUCUCAUUGACGUGCUCGUGUUCCAUAUGAAGUUGGACUUGUCAAGGAGUCGGUAGAAUUGCGUAGACGGCUUCGCGACAUCCUGCGUGUCGUUCUGGCUCUGCAAGGAAUUUGCAACGACCCGCGUUUCUCGAUUAAGACGCGGCUCCGAACUGGUGUACUUGUUAAACGUGCGUCCCGGAGCCGUUACCAUUAAAUAUAUCGGAAACAGCGCGCGUCGAUGCCAUUGAAUUGCAACGAAGAUAAAAAACAACGCUGACGAGCACUCAUGCAGGAAGGUUGUACCUUUCGGCAGCUCACGAGUAUCCACCAGAUUGCUUCGAACCUGCAGCGAUGCAGACAGUGGCGACGUGCCGUUCGCUCGGAAAACUGCAACAAUACCGCUCACCAACACCAUGCGCUCCGAAAGUGGCAAGUGAAGCUUGCAAAAAAGUCUCGUGGCUUGUGGCAACGCGCAGGUACAGACGGCAUCCGCGCUUCUCGCUUCGACUGGCAGAUUCGUGUUGUUCGCUGCGCGCUGAGAGAUCUCUGGGAAGCGCCUUGUUUAGGAUCUCAGGGUGCUGUCCGCAGCUGCAUUUCUCAGCCCCUUUGAAAGUCACGCUCUACGCAAAUUCAGAAACAGCCAAGUAUUCCAAUCGCUGUGUCUUGGUCGCAUCACAGUGACUGGUGCGUAGGCGCCCCCAGCUAAA
Molecule: unclassified non-coding RNA, 2465 nt
Filed under: Cyanidioschyzon merolae strain 10D
Lineage: Eukaryota; Rhodophyta; Bangiophyceae; Cyanidiales; Cyanidiaceae
Description: hypothetical transcript
Source: RNAcentral